UGAACCGACGCCAGCCCAGGCUUCGCCUCCUCCGUCCGCUGCCUUCGUCGCCGGGAAGAGCUGCUGCUGCCAUCGCUGCUGUCGUCGUUCGUCCAGCCGGGAGAUGCCACCGCCGGUGGUUGUGCAGCCGUCGCCGGGAGGCGCUGCCUCCGAUUCCGCCCCGAUUUGCCCCGGAACUAACCCGUUCAGCCCCGCAAGACCCCGAUUUCAACCGAACAGACCGGUUUUCAUCCAAAUCACAGAGGAGGGAAAAAAAAUCUUUGCACUUGUCGUCCAAGUCAACAGGAAGAGGAUUUAGUUUGAUUUGUUUAAUUCACAGUCGUUUGUAUUUUAUUAAAUUAUACAGGCCACAAGUUAUUUAUUACGGACUGGAUUUUUAUAUUA
Long non-coding RNA from Salvia splendens (bonfire salvia), 384 nucleotides. RefSeq lists it as uncharacterized. NCBI's taxonomy places the organism in Eukaryota, Viridiplantae, Streptophyta, Magnoliopsida, Lamiales, Lamiaceae. The record is from RefSeq and is a predicted model, not a curated record. The transcript has 2 exons.